Long non-coding RNA from Homo sapiens (human), 5995 nucleotides. Ensembl annotates it as HERC2 pseudogene 3. Its record names the gene HERC2P3. The record is from Ensembl. NCBI's taxonomy places the organism in Eukaryota, Metazoa, Chordata, Mammalia, Primates, Hominidae.
AGCCAGUGGAUGUGGAAAAGAGAAAGUGCCUACUAAAACAGUUGGAGAGAGCAGAGGUUCGCCUGGAAGGGAUAGAUACAAUUUUAAAAUUGUAUCUGGUGAGCAAGAAUUUCUUACUUCCAUCUGUGCCGUAUGCGAUGUUUUGUGGAUGGCAAAGACUUAUUCCUGAGGGAAUCGAUAUAGGGGAACCUCUUACUGAUUGUUUAAAGGAUGUUGAUUUGAUCCCGCCUUUUAAUCGGAUGCUGCUGGAAGUCACCUUUGGCAAGCUGUACGCUUGGGCUGUUCAGAACAUUCGAAAUGUUUUGGUGGAUGCCAGUGCCAAAUUUAAAGAGCUUGGUAUCCAGCCGGUUCCCCUGCAAACCAUCACCAAUGAGAACCCAUCGGGACCGAGCUUGGGGACCAUCCCGCAAGCCCACUUCCUCCUGGUGAUGCUCAGCAUGCUCACCCUGCAGCACAGCGCAAACAACCUUGACCUCCUGCUCAAUUCCGGCACGCUGGCCCUCGCUCAGACGGCACUGCGCCUGAUUGGCCCCAGUUGUGACAGCGUUGAGGAAGAUAUGAAUGCUUCUGCUCAAGGUGCUUCUGCCACAGUUUUGGAAGAAACAAGGAAGGAAACGGCUCCUGUGCAGCUCCCUGUUUCAGGGCCAGAACUGGCUGCCAUGAUGAAGAUUGGAACAAGGGUCAUGAGAGGUGUGGACUGGAAAUGGGGCGAUCAGGAUAGGCCUCCUCCAGGCCUAGGCCGAGUGAUUGGUGAGCUGGGAGAGGACGGGUGGAUAAGAGUCCAGUGGGACACAGGCAGCACCAACUCCUACAGGAUGGGGAAAGAAGGAAAUUACGACCUCAAGCUGGCAGAGCUGCCAGCCCCUGCACAGCCCUCAGCAGAGGAUUCGGACACAGAGGACGACUCUGAAGCCGAACAAACUGAAAGGAACAUUCACCCCACUGCAAUGAUGUUUACCAGCACUAUUAACUUACUGCAGACUCUUUGUCUGUCUGCUGGAGUUCAUGCUGAGAUCAUGCAGAGUGAAGCCACCAAGACUUUAUGCGGACUGCUGCAAAUGCUGGUGUACAGGGAGCAACACCGGAGCUGGUGCACGCUGGGGUUUGUGCAGAGCAUCGCUCUCACGCUGCAGGUGUGCGGCACCCUCAGCUCCCUGCAGUGGAUCACGCUGCUCAUGAAGGUCGUGGAAGGGCACGCACCCUUCACUGCCACCUCGCUGCAGAGGCAGAUCUUAGCUGUGCAUUUGUUGCAAGCAGUCCUUCCGUCAUGGGACAAGACCGAAAGGGCGAGGGACAUGAAAUGCCUCAUGGAGAAGCUGUUUGACUUCUUGGGGAGCUUGCUCACUAUGUGCUCCUCUGACGUGCCGUUACUCAGAGAGUCCACGCUGAGGCGGCGCAGGGUGUGCCCGCAGGCCUCGCUGACUGCCACCCACAGCAGCACACUGGCGGAGGAGGUGGUGGCACUGCUGCACACGCUGCACUCCCUGACUCAGUGGAAUGGGCUCAUCAACAAGUACAUCAACUCCCAGCUCCGCUCCAUCACCCACAGCUUUGCGGGAAGGCCUUCCAAAGGGGCCCAGUUAGAGGACUACUUCCCUGAUUCCGAGAACCCUGAAGUGGGGGGCCUCAUGGCGGUCCUGGCUGUGGUUGGAGGCAUCGAUGGUCGCCUGUGCCUGGGCGGCCAAGUUGUGCACGAUGACUUUGGAGAAGUCACCAUGACUCGCAUCACCCUGAAGGGCAAAAUCACCGUGCAGUUCUCUGACAUGCGGACGUGUCACGUUUGCCCAUUGAAUCAGCUGAAACCACUCCCUGCCGUGGCCUUUAAUGUGAACAACCUGCCCUUCACAGAGCCCAUGCUGUCUGUCUGGGCUCAGUUGGUGAACCUCGCUGGAAGCAAGUUAGAAAAGCACAAAAUAAAGAAAUCGACUAAACAGGCCUUUGCAGGACAAGUGGACCUGGACCUGCUGCGGUGCCAGCAGUUGAAGCUAUACAUCCUGAAAGCAGGUCGGGCGCUGUUCUCCCACCAGGAUAAACUGCGGCAGAUCCUGUCUCAGCCAGCUGUUCAGGAGACUGGAACUGUUCACACAGAUGAUGGAGCAGUGGUAUCACCUGACCUUGGGGACAUGUCUCCUGAAGGGCCGCAGCCCCCCAUGAUCCUCUUGCAGCAGCUGCUGGCCUCGGCCACCCAGCCGUCUCCUGUGAAGGCCAUAUUUGAUAAACAGGAACUUGAGGAAAGAAUGUCCAGAUGUUGUUUUUGGAGAAGAAGAACUACAAAGUUAGAGCAAAUACUCUUAUUUAUAAGAAGAAUGAACUCAGUGUGUGAGAAGGAGAAUACAAAUGCAACAGCCUCAAAUUAGCAGUGGAUGCCUACUGGGCUUCUGCAACCGCUUUCCACGGGUUCCACCAGAUGGCUAGCUGGUAAUGACCCAGACACCUCUGAGUAAACUCCCAGAAAGCCUGACAAAUAUGUUGCAAACUUAGCCAUAUGUAGAGUGGCUACACCACAUUUGCAACGCUCUCUUAACAGCAUGACCUUCUUUAAUAGUGAUCACUUCCAUUUUUAGGCCCUUUAUGCAUUACUUUUGUCAUUUUAUAUUGCUUCUUUUUUUCUGAUCCUUGCAAAAACCCUGCCAAGAAAGCAAGAAAAUAUGUUUCCCCCUCAGGACCUGGACAACAUCAGAUAGAAUGUGUCACAUAAAUAUGUAUUCAUAAUGAAAGUUUUAUAGGUAUUAAAAAUGAAAGCUCAAAAUGGCUAGGUGAUAUUCCUCAAUUCAUAUGAACAUAGAUCUCUUACCUUUUUUCUUGAUAUUAUAUUGAAUAUGUAAAGAUAUUUGAAAUAGUUUAUAUAUGAGUAAUUAAACCAGCUCAUCUUUUUCUCUGUUAUCUUCUUUAUUGCUUUAAAUCUUACAAACCCGUUUACCAACCAAAACUAAAGAACCAACUAUAUUGCUUUAAAUUGUAAAAAUAUGUAAGUAUCCACACAUAGACAUACAGGAGUUAGAAUCCCAAAGGGAAAUACUUUUUACCAGACAUAGAGGGAACCAGAAUAGACAUAAAGCCAUAAGGACACCCUGAGUGUCAAAAAGAGAUCUCAGAGUUCUCUACAGUUUUAUUACUGUUUUUAGAUUUUCACUCAUUCAUAACAUUAUAUUGGUGGCAACCAUUUAGUCCAUUUAAUUAUGCCCCCAAUCUGUCACAGUUGAGACAAAAGUUGACCAACCUAGUAUAAUCAGAAAACUUAUUCUUGGAGUUUGAAGCAAAAAUUAGAUUAAAAUGUUUUUGGAUGUGACUGGAUCAUGUUAGUGGUUAUCUACAGGGCACAAAGUCCAGCCUUCAGAAAGAAAGUAUAGAAAAAAUAGAUAAAACUCUUAGAGGAUAGAAGGAGAAAAAAAACAGAGAGAGAAUAUUGAUUAAUUUUCUCUUAGUUCGUUCCAGAAAUUUUCUCAGACCAAGUUGUACUUCAAUCUUUUGGUUCCUUUAGUCACCACCCUCUUCUUUUUUGAUUUUUCCAAUUUGUGUUAACACUUGCCUGUAUUGAUCUCUUGCAUUUGCAGCCACAUGAAUGUGAAAUCCAUAAGGGCAGAGAGUUUUGCUGGUUUUGUUCACUAUCAUGUCCCUUAACACCUAAAAUAAUGCUUAGCAUGUAGAAAUCUCUCAAUAAGUAGCUUUUGCAUGAAUGAAUGAAUUAAAUUAAAUGAAUGAAAGAACAAAAGAAUAUUAACUAAAUAAAGCCAAGGGUCAGGAAUUAAACAUAUCACAAACAUGCUUGGAAUCUUUUACUACAUAAUUGCCUGCAGAAUAUCAUUACUAUACAGUAACACCUAGAGAACAUCCGUAAAUUAAAUAGUUUGAUUUACUGAAAGGACUAAUUUUAUAUGAGCAAAAAUGACUUUAGUAAUUUUCAGAUAAGCAUUUGUCAAACGUAUAAUCUUGAAACUAUUUUCUUUAUCUCUCCUUUCUAUAAAUAUAAUGAACAAGUAUUUAAUAAAAGACUUCUUGUUUGUGACACAAUUUUAAAUGUUUUCAUCAUUCAUUAAUGUUUUUAAGAAUGUCUCUAAGCACCAAUAUGUUUCAGAGCCUGUAGUAGUCAUGAAGGUAAAAUAGUAUUUCACAUGCUGGCUUUCUCUCUGCUGCACAUGGUCUGGCUUAUACAUCUUCGUUAUGCAAAACUCAUCUCCUUCACUGACCUUCAUAGGAGACAACUGCCCCAAGAAUAUUGUUAUAUGUGUAAUUUUACUAAAUGCUUACAACAUAGUUGAGAGGUUUCUUCCUUUCUCUCUCUCAUGUACUCUCUCUCUCUCUCUCUCUCUCUCACACACACACACACACACACACCAUAUAACAUACUCCACCUAUGCAUAUAUACACAUACACCACAGAUAAUUCACCACAGUCACACCACUCACACUCAUCACACCCACACCACACAUCACCUACCACACAUUACACUACACACAUAUGCACACAUACCAGACAAACCACACCGCCCCAAGCACACAUCUCAUAUAUAAAAAUCAUACCACACACACACACACACACACACACACACACACACACACACAAGAUAAUGCACAUUUUUGUUUUUGAGGCUCUCUGCUCAGUGCCCUGCUAGUUUUGUCUCCCCCACAGCAGCCAGCAGUGCACGAUGUCUUCCUCUAUUCCGGGGCUGGUAAGUACCUGCUCUUUUUUUACAGAGAACAUUUUACAAAUGUCACAUUCUUUAAACUUCUAUCUAUCUCAUUUUGGCACUAAACAACAAAAUGCUCCCCUCCACACACAUGCACCAGUUAAGAGGACUCAUGUGUUUCACAUUUUGUACAGAGAAAUGGGGUAAGACAAAAUAACAACAAAAAUGUACCCAAAAUCACAGGGCACAGUGGCUCACACCUGUAAUUCCAGCACUUUGGGGGGCCAAGACAGGUGGAUCAGUUGAGGUCAAGAGUAGUCUGAGACCAGCCUGGCCAACAUGGCGAAACCUCAUCUCUACUAAAAAUACAAAAAUUAGCUGAGUGUGGUGGCACAGGCCUGUAAUCCUAGCUACUCGGGAGGCUGAUCCUGGAGAAUUGCUUGAACCUGAGAGGUGGAGGUUGCAGUGAGCCGACAUCCUGCCACCGCCCUCCAGCCUGGGCAACAAAGUGAGACUCUGUCCAAAAAAAAAAAAAAAAAAUCUGCCCAAAGUCUUACAGAAUGCUUCCCUUUCUUCCGAGGAGUUUUGGAAGACUAUGUGUGUGUGUGUAUAUAUAUAUAUAUAUGGAGAGAGAGAGAAAGAGAGAGACUCUAAAAUAAAAAGAAGAAAGCAUAUGAUUCUAUGAACUUUCAGAAAAUGAAAUAAGUAACUCUUUAGAAUCUGGUCCAAUCAGUGAGGUCCUUACAGACCAGCAAUCUGGACCAAAGGCUAAAAUAUGUCAUAAAAAUAAAUAAGGUUGUGAGUCAGUUUGUCCAGAUCUUCACAGAAAGAGGAAACAGAACAUGAGGAUUUCCAGAGGUGCAAAGCAUAAGGUAAUUUUUAAGGAUUCAGACAAUAUUCAGUAUGACUGGCAUAAGGUUUGUGUAGGAGUCUAACCAGGGGUGAAGCUAGAGAUCUAAGUAGGAGACCACAUCAUUAAGCAUCUUUACAAUCAUUAUAAGGGCAUUCUUAAUAUUCACACAAAGGCAAUUGGAACCCACUUAAAAUCAUGUCACUCCCCUUCCAAUUCUUCUGAUCCUCCAAUAUUGUGAUUGGUUCUUCAUUUUCUGCUCACUUGACCUCUUUCCACCAUCUUGCCACCCCUUCCUUUGAAUGGCAGAUAGGUUAAAUAGAUAGCUUACAUUUUAAAUCUUUUGGUGCAUUAUUUUCUGCAUAGUGCUUUGCUGGGGUGAUAUAUUUCCCCCUGUUAUUUCAAGAUUCAGAUUUUAGUCAUUUCUGAUUUUAAAAAGAAUGAUAUCUCACUCCAUAACCUAUAUUUAAAACUAAAAAUAAACGUAUUUUUACCAUUGUAUAAAAACCUUCUAAAAA